RNAcentral lists this ribosomal RNA (500 nucleotides) under uncultured bacterium. Its description in RNAcentral is "SSU rRNA". It matches the Rfam family "Bacterial small subunit ribosomal RNA", at positions 26 to 521 of the family's 1533-position model. The record is from RNAcentral.
AGAUUGAACGCUGGCGGCGUGCCUAACACAUGCAAGUCGAGCGGUAACAGGUGUAGCAAUACAUGCUGACGAGCGGCGAACGGGUGAGUAAUGCUUUGGAAUCUUCCCAGUAGUGGGGAAUAACCAGUCGAAAGAUUGGCUAAUACCGCAUACGUCUGUAAAGGGAAAGCGGGGGCUCGUAAGACCUCGCGCUAUUGGAUGAGCCAAAGUCGGAUUAGCUAGUUGGUGGGGUAACGGCCUACCAAGGCGACAAUCCGUAGCUGGUCUGAGAGGACGACCAGCCACACCGGAACUGAGACACGGUCCGGACUCCUACGGGAGGCAGCAGUGGGGAAUAUUGGACAAUGGGGGAAACCCUGAUCCAGCGACGCCGCGUGUGUGAAGAAGGCCUGCGGGUUGUAAAGCACUUUUAGUGGGACAAAAAGCUACGGAUUAAUACUCUGUGGUCUUGAUUUAACCCAAGAAAAGCAACCGGCUAACUCUGCGCCAGCAGCCGCGGU